UAUCUUCUACCUUGCUUAGCUGAACCCCAUGGAAGAAGAGAGAAAAUUUUCUCUUUUCUUUUCUUUGCCACAUCCCAACCUUGAGUUCUUGCUAAAAUCACUUGGAAAAUUAUCUCCUAAACUCAUUUCCACCAUCAAUCUCUCCAUUUUAAACCUAGGUUUUGGAUGUGUUUAGUAAGAGAGUUGAAGCUAGAGAGAGAAAGUUUCACUAAGGUAAGUAAUGGUGUUUUCCAUCACUCCUAGUUUGAUAUUUGAGUUUGUUUACUAUGAGAAAGCUUGAAAAGCUUAUAUGCUAAAUUUUGGUUAUAUUUUUGUGUUUGAAAAAAAAUGAGAAAUGGGAUUUCAAGUUAGGAUGAGGACGGGUUCAAGUGAUUGGAGGAUUGGUUUUGAUUAUAAGUGCAUUUAAGAGGUAAAUACCCUUGGAGACUCUAACUUCUCCUAUACUAAUAUGUUUAGGAAAAUGAUAAAAUUGUGUGUUAAAUAUGAAACUGAUUAUGAAAUAAAUAUGUGUAAGUUCCAUAGCUUAAAGUAUUAGAAAUAAAUGGCUUGAAAAAUCGUGGCUUAGUAAGCGUUAGCCAUAUAUGCCAUAUUAACUAAUAAAGUGAUAUGAAAACAUUGUUGCCAUGGAAUGGUCAAUAAAUGUGACUUGGUAUAUGUGAACAAGCUUGAAGUGUGGUAUUAAUGAAAUCAAUGUCUUAAUAUAUCACCAUGAUCACUCUAAUGAUUAUUUUUUUAAUAUAACCAUCUUGUAGACUAGAUAGAAUUGAUAUGUGAUAAUGUGUGUAUGGCAUACAAUAAAGGUAUGACCAUGUAUAUGAGGUCACAAUGAACCUUUUCAAAACUUGACUACAUAUAAGAUAAUAAAUAUGUAACAUACCAAAACCUAGCUCAAAAGUUUUGAUCGAAUCUCGAAGGUUACAUUGAUCAUCAAAGUGAUUUGGAAAUUUUUUUUACAAAACACGUUGCUGAAGUCUCAUUUCAACAUGGUUUAGCUUGAUUCAAGCUAAACCGUUCAAUUAUUUUCGGAUUAAACAAAAAAAUUCAAAUUACGAGAAAUACAUUCAGAGUUAUAAUUCUAUAGUUUCCAAAGUUUAGUCAAAAUAGUACUUUACAAAAAUAGUCCAAGGUUUAAAUUUACAAAGUUCGAAUUUAAACUUAAACCACAGUUCAUACAGUUCAAAACAAUUUAUCAAAAUAGAAACUGAAAGAAGACUAAUUAACUUGCUUUAAACGAGACUGUCCAGGACCUCUGGUAUGUCGAGUCCAGCUUCAGAUUACGAGAGUACCUGAAAGGAAAAACUAAGGGGGUGAGCUACACGAGCUCAAUGUGAGUCCAAAACUAAACGUAAGAAGCAAAAGAUGAAGAAACAAACCAGAAUGCUCUCAAAACAUUACCCGACCAACCGAUCAGAAAUACAAAAUACAGAUACAAAAUCUACAAGCCGCAUUUAUAAAAUCCCAACCACACAAUACUUAACCACACAAGACUAAGUAAUUUAGUGGAUACAAAACAGUACAUGCUCCCCAACGUUCAGAAAAAAGUAAUUCUUCCUUUAACUCCAAAGACAAAACUUACCUAAUUUCGCACCCAAUCAAACAUAACACACAAGGACAAUCAGCCAACAAUGUUGAUACUAAAACCCAUAAUUCAUUUGGAGAACAAAAAUACAACGGUAAUUAAUUCGCCAACAAUGAAAGUGAGAAAAGGAGAAGAACCAAAAAGAAUGGCAAGAACAUGGAAAAAGAGAGGAAACAAAAAGUUAUGAAGAAAGAGAACGUGCAAAAGAAUUUUAGAAACAACUUCUUCUUUUUCCAAAAAUAAAAAUACAAUAAAAUAAAUAACAUAAAUAAAUAUAUAUAAAAUUAAAAACAAAACUCAAAUAACAUUAAUUCCUCAAACACAGAUGAUGAUUUGAACCCAGAACCCAAAGGUAAACUAACACACAUCUAACCACUGAACCAGCAGGCUCAUUUUGACAAUAAAACACGAAAAUCAACUCAAUUGCUCAACCUACUCACUGACCUUAAACACAAAUCUCAAAACUUCUAACUCUAAAUUUUGGGGUGUUACAACCCACCCUUCCUUAUAGAAAUUUCAUCCCCGAAAUUUCCACUAAUAGAAUAGACGUCUAAUCACAAAACUCACCACUACGCUCCCACUGUUCACUCUAACCUUAGCGUACUACCAUACCAUACUUAACCUUAGAAUCUCAUACACCUACUUAGAACAGUUAACCACUGAAGCAGAUCAAAUCAUUUGUCUAACACACAUAAAUACUAUGUCAUAUUCAAAAAUUCAAUUUAUUCACAAACAAUAGCACACCAAGUCAAAAUAUUUUACAAUCACACCUAACUCAAUGUCGAUGAGGGCACUCCCUAAUCUGAUGCUUUAUGGACCCACAUUUGAGACAUGCUCCUAACUUUUUCCAACAUUUGCCCAGAUGGCGCUUCUUACAAUGCUCACAAACUGACACGUUCCCGCUACAACUAGAACCUUCGACAAUACCUUUACUAAAACUCAACUGCAAUCUCAGACGCUUCAUAGAUCGAGGCUCCAACCUCAAAGGACUACUAUCUCUUUUCUUCAUAGAUCGAGGCUCCAACCUUGAACCAUUUUUCUAUAUCUUUCUAUGCUACCCUUAAAUACUUUCUCUAGAACCUCUCUCACUACUUGAGUCAAAGCAUUGGUACCAACCUCCAGGUUAUAACUACCUGAAGCUGGCAGAACCGCAUUGACUUCCGACUUUUGAAUAGGCAGACGUCCCGGAAAAGUAGAUGACUCCUCGAAAGUCUCACUAGACUGACCCUCACGAUCUCGCUUACCUUCAAAAUCCAUAUCCAUCUUGUGGCUAACUUAGAAUAUCUCUAUUUUCAGAAAACAAACACAAAAUAAAUAAAAAAUUCUACAUUUUUAAUCCUACAGUUUUGAAUUUUCACCUGGACCAACAUCGGAGUCUCAGGCAUUUUAUUUUCAUAAAACAUUUCCUAAACACAAAUCAUUUCAAACUACUGUGGUAAAGUUUCUCAAAAUUUUUUCCAAAACAACCACGUGCGCACACAGAUACGUAAAAACACAGGUUGAGUUUUUGCAAACUUGGCUUUGAUACCACUAAAUGUAACACACCAAAACCCGACCCAAAAGUUUUGACCGAAUCUUAGAGGUUAAAUUGAUCACCGAAAUGAUCUGGAAAUUUUUUUACAAAAACACGUUACCAAAGUCUUAUUUUAACAUGUUUUAGCUGGAUUCAAGCUAAACCAUUCAAUUAUUGUCGGAUUAAAUAGAAAACUUCAGAUUAUGACAAAUACGUUCAGAGUUAUAAUUCUAUAGUUUCCCAAGUUUAGUCAAAAUGGUACUUUACAAAAAUAGUCCAGGGUUUAAAUUUAUAAAGUUCGAAAUCAAACUUAAACCACAGUUCACACAAUUCAAAAUAGUUUAUCAAAAUAGGAACUGAAAGAAGACUAAUUAACUUACUUUUAAAUGCGACUGUCCAAGACCUCCAGUAUGCCGAGUCCAGCUUUAGAUUACGAGAGUACUUGAAAGGGAAAACUAAGGGGAUGAGCUACACGAGCUCAGUGUGAGUCUGAAACUAAACGUAAGAAGCAAAAGAUGAAGAAACAAACCAGAAUGCUCUCAAAACAUUACCCGAAGAACUGAUCAAAAAUACAAAAAAUGAAUACAAAAUCUACAAGCCGCAUUUAUAAAAUCCCAAUCACACAAUACUUAACCACACAAGACUAAGUACUUAUUCUCCUAAUAAAGGAAAUAAAAGUGUAAUGUAUAACUCCUAAAUGAAGCCUAUAAACAUUUGGCUAUAAAAGGAAAGAACUUAUGUGUAAAUAUGUUAAACGAACUCUAAUAAAAAGUGGACAUAUGCUUGAUUAAAAAAAACCAUUCUAGCACUACAUAAGAGUCAUUUAUCUGUACUUCAUAAUGUGUUCGACUAAUAAACUAUUAAUAUGUAAGUUGAGCCCUAUAAUUUGGUAACAAGAAAUGAAUUUAUUAGUAACACUAAAAUGUGAUACUAGUGAACUCCAUAAUAAUCACUUCUGAAAGGCUUAACACUAAUAAGGAAUAAGAAAAGUAGGUUUAUCUAUGUGUACUUACUGAGCUCAAGUACUAGUUGCUUAAAUGAGUAGGUUAAGAACUUCCCAAGAAGUUUUGGAUUCUAGCUUGGGAGCAUUGCAUCACCAUUCAAGUCUUGAGGUUGUGAUUCAUUUGUCUUGGUUGCCAUUGGUAUUAAAAUCUUGACAUGUAUAUAAAUACUUAGAUUGAAUUUGGAAUUUGUAAAAUUUAUUUGUAUUUUGAACCCAUGUUAGUGUUAUAAAUUGAGCUUUGAUUUUUUAUUUAACUUGAAUAUGUUUAUGUUGGAAAAAUCCGGUUUAAAAAACGAUUUCCAAUCAUGGCUGAAAUUUAAAAUUUUGAAAAUCGAACUAGUUUGUAAUAUUUAUAGUAAUAAACUUUUUUCCUGAAAAGUGCUUCUACUUUGUGCGAAGAGGAUACGUAUUGUUCCUGUUUUUAAUAGAACGACUUUUUUUGUUAUCCUUGUAUCCUGAAUUGUGUCAAGUGUGUGCUCAAACAACACAAACCAAACACAGAACAAGAAACGAUUUAAUACUGAAAGUAAUUCUCUCACAUAGAAAUCGAUAGAAAUUGUAAUUCCUAGAAAAUAGAAAUAUAUGAAACUUAUGUAUAAAAAAAACUUAUGUUAAUAGUUCAACCAAUGCUAUAUAUUUUUAGGAAGAGAUAAGAGAAUCUUAGUUAAAUAAGAAUAACACAAAUAAUAUUUAUUUAAUAAAAAAAUCUUUUAGUCUAACUAGAAAGGGGGCACACCCUCUCAUUUCUCUUAAGGUUGUCACCCCCCACAUGUUUAUGUGAGGCAAAUUGGGCCCUUCAUGUAUUGGGUUUAAUUAUAAGUGCUUACUAGACUUUUAUGUAACACCUCUCACCCGGUUCGGUUGAUGGACUCGAGUUAUAGGAUGCUACAACAAAUUUUGAAACUUAUACAGAUGCAUUUAUCACAACUAUACUGUUAAAGAUGAAAUCAUGACUAAUUAAACUUUUAAGUGAUAAUAGAAAUAGAUUUAUUCGAGAAAUAAGAACUAUUCAGAAAAAAAAAUUGAAACCCAGCGUAAGUAUCGAUACUAAACAAGUAGGUAUGGUUAUUUAUGUGUUAGGUAUUGAUACUAAAGUACGCAUAGAUACCAUUUUAGCUCUUUGCCAAAUUUGGUUCUAAAUGUUUUAUCUAUUCCUUGUAGAGGUAUCAAUAUUUUUAUCACGAGUAUCGAUACUAGUGUUUGGGUAUUGAUACCAAACUUGGUUACUGUCGAUUUUUAAAAACUUUCCAUUUGACAAGGUAUCGAUAUGUUGAUCCUGAGUAUUGAUAUAUUCUCAUGCAAGAAAACUUAUAUAUAUUUCAAUUAAUGAUAAAUUUGACAACUUUGGAAUAUGAAACAUAUAAAUGGUCUUAAUCACCACAAACUGGAUAAACGGAUCUCCAUCACACCAAUGACUCAAAGAGUCUAACAUGUCCCAAAAGUGUAGCAUUAAGCUAAACACUUUCCAACACACUAGCAUGUCCCAAUGAAUGGAGCUUAGUUUGAUAUUCUCUUAUCUCUCUAACUUGUCUCAUGGCCUCAACGCCUAAAUCACAAAACACAAAGAUGAGUACUUGUAAUGCGUGGUUUGUGCAAGUGUACACAAUCGUUAUCAAGUAAUAAGUAAGUAAAAGAGUUAUCGUCUCUAUAGGGAUUAUGUAUUUUAAUCAAUUAAUUAAAAAAUUAAUAUUAACAAUUUGGUAAGAAAAACACAAUCUUUUUGAGGUGAUUGAUGAUGAAAUUAAAUUAAAUAAGCUAGAUACAAAAUGAUCCCUAAUGCAAAUUAACCUAAAUGCAAUGUAUGCAAUGGAAUGAAUGGGUUGAGUUUAACAGCAAAUUCACAAGCUUCAACAAUCAAUAACAUGAAUAGGCUAGAAUAAUCACAUCAUUCAACUUAAUUCAUUUAUAUCAUGCUUAAUAAUGUUUUGGAAAUUAUUCCAUGGCAACUUGAUCUUUCAUGAGCUUGAAACCAAUUUUAUGUCCUUUCAGAAUUUUUCACUUAGAAAAACAUGCAUACUACCAUGAUUAUAUUUAACAAAGGGUUUAUUAGAAUUCAUGUGAAGUAACAGGGACGAGUUAGGUUUGAAAUAGUUUAAUCACAUAAAUCUAAAAGCUAUGCAAUGUAAUAGAGCUCUUUCGAGUUAUUACGAACCUUUAAUUUAAUCGGGUUAGGAUCUAAAUUAAGCAUGCACCUUUCAAUUACUACGUCCACUAAUCGCCAUCUGGUUAGGAUUGAUCAACUAAUUAUAAUGCAUUCAAUCACAUUUUCAUGAAUGAAAUACAUGCAUGAUUUUAAUUGAAAGCAUGAACAACUGAGGCAUAGAACAUCAUAAACAUGAUUUAAAUGAACUUUAUUUAAUUGAUGCGAUUAUUCUAGCUAAACAAAAUUAAGUUACCAUUGUUGAUGAAAAAAUAACAAAACAAAUUACGAACAUGAUUAAUAUCCAAAAUAAAAUAAAGAUAGGGAAGAAUAAACUCUAAAUGGUUCGACAGUUCUCUGGGAAUCAAUUGUAGUGGCUUAAUCCAAUCCUCUUGUUUGCCUCUUAGCAAAGUGCUCCUCAAGGUGGCCGACCAAGAGAGUAUUUUAUCAAAUAUUUGAUAGCUAAUGGUGAGGGAAAAUAGGGAUGGCUAUGCAUGAAAGGGAGAUAAAAUAUGAUGAGAGGAAAGAAUGAGAAAUGAAGAAUGAAUGUUGAAUGAGGGAUGAAUGAUGUUUGAGAGAUGGAAGAUGAUGGAUAUGAGGCAUAGGAGUGGGUAUUUAUAGUGAAGGUUGGUAGGUGAGUUUACUAAAAAUGGCGUGUAGAAUCCCCCAAUUUACUCACUUUCUUGGUCAUCCACACAUUGUGGAAGGAAGUGGUUUGUUGGUUACUGGAUUCAAGAAUGAAAUCAUGCUUGAAUUAAGCAAGGGUGUGGACGGUAUCAAAGGCAAAUCUUGUGGGCUAUUUUUUUAUUUAUUUGCUAGUGUAGGAACCUCCAAUAAAUCCACCAAAAUUGAUUUUUGGGAUGCUCACAAAUGCUUUGCCGAAUUGGACUUGUUCUCCCUUGUUUGGAUGGUUUGGUGAACCAAUUAUUUACCAUACUUGUCCAUCAAUUGAUCCAUCUUUAAUUGGAUCAAAUCAACUUCUUCAUGACUCAUUUUGCAUGUGUUUUUCGUCCACAUAGAGUGAUUUUGGGCAUGUCCAUGUAACUUUAUUUUAUAAACAAAUCAUGCAUAAUUUCCUUGGUCCAAUUUCAUUAAAUAAUAUCAAGAUUAAUAUGUAGCAUAAAAUAAUUAAAUUAUGCACAAAUUUAAUGCAAAAUAACAUAAAAUAACAUUCUUCAUUAAAUCAUUCCUAUUAUUGAAAUAUAAACAAAAUUCUCUCAAUUAGUGAUAAAUUACUUGGAAUUAAUAUUAUUUUUAAGUAAAAAGGUGCCAAAAACAACUAUAAAAACUCUAUAUAAAUUAAAGUUUACAGUACUCACAAUCCUAUGGCAUGCCAACUAUAUUCAAUGGUUUCAAGAUAUUACAAGGCCAAAAUAUCCAUAAUUGCACAUAUUUACUUAAUGUUUUAAUGCACAUAAUCUCAUUCACAAUGCAUGCUUAACAUAUACAGAUUUCAUUGCACUUCAAGUGCCACAAUAGUGCUCAUUGAGAGAUCAUAUAUUAGACUUCAUAUGUGUGCAUAUAAUAUCAACAAAUCACAUAUCAUACUAAUGUAUUUUUACAUAAUAAUUGUUGCAUUAGCAUCUUAUAUCACAACACAUCUUAGGCAUGAAUUUUCGUCAAGGCAAAAAGUAUAGGAAACACUUAUUCUCCAAACUUAAGAUAGGGGUUUAGGUUAAUCCUAAGCUCCCGAUUAACACUAUGAAUCGCGCAUACCAGCAGUUGUAACAGCUCGUUUUCAGUGAAAUUAGAAUAGUGGUUUUGGGACCACAAAUCUGAAGUUAAAAAAAUUAGUUUAAUAUUAUUUUAUGGUCUACAAUAUGUUGGAGAUAUCGUAUAAAAAUUUUGUUAAGAAAUUUUACCGCUUACAUGCCUAAUUUGAUAAAAAGGACUAAAUUGCAUCAAGUGCAAAUGUUGAGUUCUAAUAGCUAAAAGUAUUAAAUAACUAUAGAAUUUUAAAUUUUAGGUCCUUAUAUAGUAAAUAGGCCAUUAAAGUGGUUAGUGGAUAAGUAUGAAUAGUCAUCAUUAAAAAUUUAUUGAAAUAUUAAGGUUAAUUUUAGAAAUUUGUGAUUGAAGUUAUAAUAAAUUAAUUAAAUAAACUAUUAUCAUCUAUUCUCACCAUCAUCCACCAAAAAAAAAAACUAGCCAUGGAAGCUUAAAAAUUUAGGCAAGCUUAUUUUUCACAAGUAGGUAUGAAUCUUUGUCCAGUUUUUUAUGAUUUCUAUAUUUAUAGGAUCGUAGUAGCUUAAUCUAGUUAGUUCAGGGAUUAAUUUGCAAAACUGUUAAAGUAUUAGGGUUUUUCCAUUGAUGAAUAUGCUUGAAUUUUGAAGUUUGAUGAUAGAAAAUGAAUGGUUGUUGUUAGGUAAACAACUUUUGUAAAGAGAAUUUUGAUGAAAUUAUCAAUUAGGGAUUUAAUUGAAAAAGAUGAUAAAUUUAUAGUACAAUUUAUGAAUUUUGUGAAAUAUAUGCGAUGCUAUUAAUAUGUAUAAAAUCGGCUAGGCUUGAGUAAGGAUUAGAUUGUAUGAAUUUCAUUUUUUUGAGCCUAGGGACUAAAUUACAAAUGAAUUAAAAGUAUAAGGCAAAAUGGUAAUUUUGCCAAAAUACCAUGUUGGAUUAAAUUGAAUGAGAAUUAUAUUUAAAUGAGUUAAAUUCAUUCGUAUAGAUCCUGUCAAACCUCGUACAGAGUUAGAUCAAGGUAAAGAGAAAAUAUCAGAUUAGUUGCUUUCGUAUCUACGUACCCUUAUCGAGGUAAGUUCGUGUAAUUAAAUUGUAUAUUUAUAUGUGUUAAAUUUAAUUAUUGUUUGUGAAUUGUAUAAUUGCCAUGAAUAAAUACCGGUUGUAUAUUCGACAAUUACCAACCCCGUUUGAACCUUAAGAAUCCAUAGGAUACAAAUGACAUUUCAUUAGGGUCACCAAUUUCAACUCUUAUGAGCUUCCUGAUACUCAGCUCGCAUGAGCUUCCCAUUGUUCAGCUCGCAUGAGCUUUCCAUUGUUCAGCUCACAUGAGCUUCUUGUUAUUCAGCUCGGAGGAGCUUACUGUGUAUAGCUCGUAUGAACAUACAUGUACAUGAAUUGACGAAUUACAGUUCAGUACAUUUCGUGUGUACUACCCGUGUAUCCAACGAUAUUCUAAAUAGUUCAACGGGCACAGUUCUAUUAUGAGAUCAUAUGAGUUUGAUAUGAACUAUUACUGGUGUUUACAUGAAAUACAUGAAAUAUGAUUAUUUGAUGAAUUCAACCAUUGUGUUGGAUCUUAUAUGUGAUUUUCAUGGCUAAUAUGUGGGUGAUCAUGUGUUUAGGCUUUUGGCCAAAUUGGUUGAGAUAUGCUAUGUUUACUUAAUUAUUUUAUGGAUAUAUGGUAAGUUAAAUUUCAUGUUAUACGAACUUACAAAGCUUAAAUGCUUACUCUGUGUUAUUAUAUAUGUUUUAUAGUAAUUCAGAAGCUUGUUCGAGUUGGAAGCUGGUCGGAGCUAUUUCACACUAUCCAACAGUCUUUUUGGUACUUUGAGUAAAUUAAUUCUGGUUCUAAUGGCAUCUAUAGGUUAUUUUGGCUAAUGUUGGCAUAUAAAUAUUUUGUUGAGAUCAACCAUUUAUAUGGCUUGUGUUUGGUAUAUUUUGAAGUGUAUAUAAGUGACCA
RNAcentral lists this long non-coding RNA (9872 nucleotides) under Gossypium barbadense (sea-island cotton). RNAcentral describes it as "long non-coding RNA (GBAR_LNC015764)". The record is from RNAcentral. Lineage: Eukaryota; Viridiplantae; Streptophyta; Magnoliopsida; Malvales; Malvaceae.